Molecule: non-coding RNA, 410 nt
Organism: Candidatus Adlerbacteria bacterium
Lineage: Bacteria; Candidatus Adleribacteriota
Source: Rfam
UAUGAUCAGAGUUUGAUCCUAGCUCAGGGUGAAUGCUGGCGGCGUGGAUGAGGCAUGCAAGUCACGGGGGCCGCAAGGCAACCGGCGAACGAGGUAGUAAGACGCAGGUACGCACCGAAGAGUCGGGCAUAGCUAGCCGAAAGGUUAGGUAAUUCCCGAUGGUGUAGCGAUACUAAAGGAGUAAUCCGCUCUUUGAGCGGCCUGCGGAGCAUCAGCUAGUUGGUAGGGUAAUGGCCUACCAAGGCUAUGACGCUUAGGGGAGCUGAGAGGCUGACCCCCACCGAUGGAACUGAGACACGGUCCAUACACCUACGGGUGGCAGCAGCCGAGAAUAUUCGGAGGCUGACCCCCACCGAUGGAACUGAGACACGGUCCAUACACCUACGGGUGGCAGCAGCCGAGAAUAUUCG